Molecule: transfer RNA, 101 nt
Filed under: Gammaproteobacteria bacterium
Lineage: Bacteria; Pseudomonadati; Pseudomonadota; Gammaproteobacteria
Description: tRNA-Ser
Source: RNAcentral
GGGCCGGUGCACGGUAACGUGUUGAUUUAGUUAGUCGUAUUAUUCGUCGUGGUGGGCUCAUAAUCCAUUGGUCGUAGGUUCGAGCCCUACCGGGCCCACCA